GAUGAACGCUAGCGGGAGGCCUAACACAUGCAAGCCGAGCGGUAGAUUACUUUCGGGUGAUUGAGAGCGGCGUACGGGUGCGGAACACGUGUGCAACCUGCCUUUAUCAGGGGGAUAGCCUUUCGAAAGGAAGAUUAAUACCCCAUAAUAUAUUAUUCGGCAUCGGGUGAUAUUGAAAACUACGGUGGAUAGAGAUGGGCACGCGCAAGAUUAGCUAGUUGGUGAGGUAACGGCUCACCAAGGCGACGAUCUUUAGGGGGCCUGAGAGGGUGAUCCCCCACACUGGUACUGAGACACGGACCAGACUCCUACGGGAGGCAGCAGUGAGGAAGAUUGGACAAUGGGUGGAAGCCUGAUCCAGCCAUCCCGCGUGCAGGAAGACGGCCCUAUGGGUUGUAAACUGCUUUUAUCUGGGGAUAAACCUACUUACGUGUAAGUAGCUGAAGGUACCAGAAGAAUAAGCACCGGCUAACUCCGUG
Molecule: ribosomal RNA, 479 nt
Filed under: uncultured bacterium
Lineage: Bacteria
Description: partial 16S ribosomal RNA
Rfam family: Bacterial small subunit ribosomal RNA
Source: RNAcentral